UACGUAGGUGGCAAGCGUUGUCCGGAUUUAUUGGGCGUAAAGAGCUCGUAGGCGGCUCGGUAAGUCGGAUGUGAAACCUCCAGGCUCAACCUGGAGACGCCAUCUGAUACUGCCGUGGCUUGAGUCCGGUAGAGGAGCAGGGAAUUCCUGGUGUAGCGGUGAAAUGCGCAGAUAUCAGGAGGAACACCUGUGGUGUAGACAGCUUACUGGACCAUUUCUGACGCUGAGACACGAAAGCGUGGGUAGCAAACAGG
This 254-nucleotide ribosomal RNA is filed under the name uncultured bacterium. RNAcentral describes it as "partial 16S ribosomal RNA". It matches the Rfam family "Bacterial small subunit ribosomal RNA", at positions 524 to 776 of the family's 1533-position model. The record is from RNAcentral.